GACCAAGAAGUCUAACAUGUGUGCGAGUCAUUGGGUAUAUGUUGAAACCUAAAGGCGAAAUUAAAAUAACUAUUUUAAUAAAAAAUGGGAUCACAAAUGAUAAAUUUUUGCAAAGAAAUUAUUGUUUCUCAAUCCCGGGGCGUUCUAUAUUAAACAUGUUUUAAGCAAUUAAAUCCUCUGUUUAAGAGCGUACCUUGAGCAUACAUGCUGUGACCCGAAAGAUGGUGAACUAUACCUGAUCAGGUUGAAGUCAGGGGAAACCCUGAUGGAGGACUGAAGCAGUUCUGACGUGCAAAUCGAUUGUCAGAAUUGGGUAUAGGGGCGAAAGACUAAUCGAACCAUCUAGUAGCUGGUUCCUUCCGAAGUUUCCCUCAGGAUAGCUGGUGCAAUAAAAACUAAUAUAUAUAUAAUCUUAUCUGGUAAAGCGAAUGAUUAGAGGCCUUGGGGCCGAAACGACCUCAACCUAUUCUCAAACUUUAAAUGGGUAAGAACCUCAUCUUUCUUGAGCUGAAGAUAUAGAGGUUUAGAUAUAUUGUGCUCAGUGGGCCACUUUUGGUAAGCAGAACUGGCGCUGUGGGAUGAACCAAACGUAAUGUUACGGCGCCUAAAUUAAUGACUCAUGUUGAUACCAUGAAAGGUGUUGGUUGCUUAAAACAGCAGGACGGUGGACAUGGAAGUCGUAAUCCGCUAAGGAGUGUGUAACAACUCACCUGCCGAAGCAACUAGCCCUUAAAAUGGAUGGCGCUUAAGUCAUAUGCCUAUACAUUACCGCUAGAAUAAAUAUAAAUUUUUUGUUAAAAAAAAUAAUUCAAUAUAAAAUUCUAGUGAGUAGGAAGGUACAAUGGUGUGCGCAGAAGUGUUUGGCGUGAGCCUGCAUGGAGCCGCCAUUGGAACAGAUCUUGGUGGUAGUAGCAAAUAAUCGAAUGAGAUCUUGGAGGACUGAAGUGGAGAAGGGUUUCGUGUGAACAGUGGUUGAUCACGAGUUAGUCGGUCCUAAGCUCUAAGCGAAAGCUGUUUAAUUUUAUGUUUCAAAAAAGUUUUAUAUAUUGAUAUAAAAAAUGUUGUGUGUAGUACAUAUUAUUAAUUAAAAAGAGCGAAAGGGAAUACGGUUCCAAUUCCGUAACCUGUUGAGUAUACGUUUGUUUAUUAAAAAUGGGUCUCAAUACACUCAUCCUGGUAACAGGAACAACCAUAGAGAAGCCUUCGAGAGAUACUGGAAGAGUUUUCUUUUCUGUUGAACAAUUGUAUCACCAUGGAAGUCUUUCAUAGAGAGAUAUGGUGAAUGGAUUGGAAGAGCAUGACAUUUACUGUUGUGUCAGUAUUUUCUCCUUGGACCUUGAAAAUCUAUGGUGGGGCCACGCAAACAUCUCAACAGACCGUACCGAUAUCCGCAG
Molecule: ribosomal RNA, 1394 nt
Filed under: Plecia sp. SS-2012
Lineage: Eukaryota; Metazoa; Arthropoda; Insecta; Diptera; Pleciidae
Description: eukaryotic LSU rRNA
Rfam family: Eukaryotic large subunit ribosomal RNA
Source: RNAcentral